This 249-nucleotide ribosomal RNA is filed under the name uncultured bacterium. Its description in RNAcentral is "partial 16S ribosomal RNA". It matches the Rfam family "Bacterial small subunit ribosomal RNA", at positions 524 to 776 of the family's 1533-position model. The record is from RNAcentral.
UACGUAGGGUGCAAGCGUUGUCCGGAAUUAUUGGCGUAAAGAGCUCGUAGGCGGUCUGUUGCGUCGGCUGUGAAAACCCGGGGCUCAACCCGGCCUGCAGCCGAUACGGCAGACUAGAGUUCGGCAGGGGAGACUGGAAUUCCUGGUGUAGCGGUGAAAUGCGCAGAUAUCAGGAGGAACACCGGUGGCGAAGGCGGGUCUCUGGGCCGAUACUGACGCUGAGGAGCGAAAGCGUGGGGAGCGAACAGG